UCCAACAAUACAGAAUAGCCUAUCUGACAUAUGGAGGUGCACUUUUCAAACUUUCGGUAAAAAAAGCCGUGAGGUAUGGUUGUGAAGUUCAAACCUUUUCCCAAAAGGUUUGCAUGAUCAGUAUUUCAGGAAGCAAGUGAAAAACAGGACAGGUCAAGCAAUUGCAGUCAGGAGUCACGGAUAUUACAGAGGCAGCAGCGAUUUCCCCUUCAGUAACAGGAGGUUGGACUUGGUGGCAUUUGUGAUCCCUUUUAGCUCUAGAUCUGGCAUCUAGAGUGGACACAAAACUGGAGGAAGAGCAAGAAGAGAAGCAGAAUUAGAGCUGAUGGUCGGCUGAAGCAAGAGGACACGGGUACCUUGCCAUCUUGGUCCUGAGGUCUUUGGUACGGGCCCUGGAGGAGUGCCCGCCCCAACCCAGAAGGAGCAUCAGACAAUCAUAGGAGUAAGUUCAUUUUAGGGUUUCACUCUCUGUGGGGAAGAGAACUUUGGGGUCAAGUUGGGUACUGGCCAGCACUGUAUGAGAGAGAUUAAAGCCUUUGUGUACAUUGAGCCCAAGGGAGGGCUUUAGUUGACAUCUUUACUGACCCAUAAAAGUAAAUAGAGAGCAGGGUAGAUCUCUCGGGUAAGUCCUAU
This 633-nucleotide long non-coding RNA is filed under the name Phascolarctos cinereus (koala). RNAcentral describes it as "lncRNA (ENSPCIG00000023867.2)". Lineage: Eukaryota; Metazoa; Chordata; Mammalia; Diprotodontia; Phascolarctidae. The record is from RNAcentral.